ACGAUGAACCCAGCUUGCUGGGUGGAUUAGUGGCGAACGGGUGAGUAACACGUGGGUGAUCUGCCCUGCACUUCGGGAUAAGCCUGGGAAACUGGGUCUAAUACCGGAUAUGACCAAAGGCUGCAUGGUUUUUGGUGGAAAGUUUUUCGGUGCAGGAUGAGCCCGCGGCCUAUCAGCUUGUUGGUGGGGUAAUGGCCUACCAAGGCGACGACGGGUAGCCGGCCUGAGAGGGCGACCGGCCACACUGGGACUGAGACACGGCCCAGACUCCUACGGGAGGCAGCAGUGGGGAAUAUUGCACAAUGGGCGAAAGCCUGAUGCAGCGACGCCGCGUGAGGGAUGACGGCCUUCGGGUUGUAAACCUCUUUCACCAGGGACGAAGCGCAAGUGACGGUACCUGGAGAAGAAGCACCGGCCAACUACGUGCCAGCAGCCGCGGUAAUACGUAGGGUGCGAGCGUUGUCCGGAAUUACUGGGCGUAAAGAGCUCGUAGGCGGUUUGUCGCGUCGUCUGUGAAAUCCCGCAGCUCAACUGCGGGCUUGCAGGCGAUACGGGCAAACUCGAGUACUGCAGGGGAGACUGGAAUUCCUGGUGUAGCGGUGAAAUGCGCAGAUAUCAGGAGGAACACCGGUGGCGAAGGCGGGUCUCUGGGCAGUAACUGACGCUGAGGAGCGAAAGCGUGGGUAGCGAACAGGAUUAGAUACCCUGGUAGUCCACGCCGUAAACAGUGGGCGCUA
RNAcentral lists this ribosomal RNA (737 nucleotides) under uncultured bacterium. RNAcentral's name for it is "bacterial SSU rRNA". It matches the Rfam family "Bacterial small subunit ribosomal RNA", at positions 66 to 818 of the family's 1533-position model. The record is from RNAcentral.